CGCAGGAGACGAGCGUUAUCCGGAUUUACUGGGCGUAAAGCGUGUGCAGGCGGUUCGGCAAGUUGGAUGUGAAAUCUCCCGGCUCAACUGGGAGGGGUCGUUCAAUACUACCGAACUUGAGGUCAUCAGAGGAAGGUGGAAUUCCGGGUGUAGUGGUGAAAUGCGUAGAUAUCCGGAGGAACACCAGUGGCGAAGGCGGCCUUCUGGGAUGAUCCUGACGCUCAGACACGAAAGCUAGGGGAGCGAACGGGGUUAGAGACCCCGGUAGUCCUAGCUGUAAACGAUGUAGACUUGGCGUCGGAGGGUUCAAAACCUUCGGUGUCGUAGCUAACGCGAUAAGUCUACCGCCUGGGGACUACGGCCGCAAGGUUA
RNAcentral lists this ribosomal RNA (372 nucleotides) under uncultured organism. RNAcentral describes it as "bacterial SSU rRNA". It matches the Rfam family "Bacterial small subunit ribosomal RNA", at positions 526 to 896 of the family's 1533-position model. The record is from RNAcentral.